Molecule: ribosomal RNA, 443 nt
Filed under: uncultured bacterium
Lineage: Bacteria
Description: partial 16S ribosomal RNA
Rfam family: Bacterial small subunit ribosomal RNA
Source: RNAcentral
CCUACGGGGGACUGCAGUGGGGAAUAUUGGGCAAUGGAGGCAACUCUGACCCAGCAACGCCGCGUGAGUGAUGAAGGUCUUCGGAUUGUAAAACUCUUUAAGUGGGGACGAAGAAAGUGACUGUACCCACAGAAUAAGCCUCGGCUAACUACGUGCCAGCAGCCGCGGUAAUACGUAGGAGGCAAGCGUUAUCCGGAAUGACUGGGCGUAAAGGGUGCGUAGGUGGUUUGACAAGUUAGUAGCGUAAUUCCGGGGCUCAACUUCGGAACUACUACUAAAACUGUUGGGCUUGAGUGCAGGAGAGGUGAAUGGAAUUCCUAGUGUAGCGGUGGAAUGCGUAGAUAUCUGGAGGAACAUCAGUGGCGAAGGCGACUAUCUGGCACAUAACUGACGCUGAGGAGCGAAAGCGUGGGUAGCAAACAGGAUUAGAUACCCGGGUAGUC